RNAcentral lists this long non-coding RNA (423 nucleotides) under Vulpes vulpes (red fox). RNAcentral's name for it is "lncRNA (ENSVVUG00000000325.1)". Lineage: Eukaryota; Metazoa; Chordata; Mammalia; Carnivora; Canidae. The record is from RNAcentral.
AAAACUCCUAUCUUCCCCACCCUUCUUCCCAAGGUGCUUCUGUUCAGGGAGGUGGAGUUGAUUGUGUCCCAUGGGACGUGGAUUUGGGGAAGAGGAGUCUCUACAGAUGAUUCCUUGCUCCAUGAGGAUUCAGCAAAGAAAGGCAGGAACCCCAGUCUUGAAUGCAAAGUGUUUUCUUUUAGGUUUCACUAUUGAACACAUAAUGUGUGUCUCCACCUGGAGCUGCCCACCAGAGAUCUCCCCUAAUGUGGGCCUAGAAGACAAGGGUAGAACAUUCGAAAGGUCAAGUGUGGCUAAUGCUUCUCUCCAUCUGGUGAUGUAUCUGGUUUGUUUCUUUAUUCUCGCUGUCUCUCCAUAGGGGUGCUGCUAAAAAACAAGAGUGAUUAAGUACACUAAACUGUUCCACCUCUAGGGAAUCCCAGC